This 253-nucleotide ribosomal RNA is filed under the name uncultured bacterium. RNAcentral describes it as "partial 16S ribosomal RNA". It matches the Rfam family "Bacterial small subunit ribosomal RNA", at positions 524 to 776 of the family's 1533-position model. The record is from RNAcentral.
UACGUAGGGACCAAGCGUUGUUCGGAUUUACUGGGCGUAAAGGGCGCGUAGGCGGCAUGACAAGUCACUUGUGAAAUCUCCGGGCUUAACUCGGAACGGCCAAGUGAAACUGUCAAGCUAGAGUGCAGAAGGGGCAAUCGGAAUUCUUGGUGUAGCGGUGAAAUGCGUAGAUAUCAGGAGGAAUACCGAUGGCGAAGGCAGGUCUCUGGGCUGACACUGACGCUCAUGCACGAAAGCGUGGGGAGCAAACAGG